This 575-nucleotide ribosomal RNA is filed under the name Bacillus cereus. Its description in RNAcentral is "bacterial SSU rRNA". It matches the Rfam family "Bacterial small subunit ribosomal RNA", at positions 41 to 594 of the family's 1533-position model. Lineage: Bacteria; Bacillati; Bacillota; Bacilli; Caryophanales; Bacillaceae. The record is from RNAcentral.
GGUGUGCGUAAUACAUGCCAGUGCGAGCCGAAUGGAUUAAGANCUUGCUCUUAUGAAGUUAGCGGCGGACGGGUGAGUAACACGUGGGUNACCUGCCCAUAACACUGGGAUAACUCCGGGAAACCGGGGCUAAUACCGGAUAACAUUUUGAACCGCAUGGUUCGAAAUUGAAAGGCGGCUUCGGCUGUCACUUAUGGAUGGACCCCCGUCNCAUUANCUAGUUGGUGAGGUAACGGCUCACCAAGGCAACGAUGCGUANCCGACCUGAGAGGGUGAUCGGCCACACUGGGACUGACACACGGCCCAGACUCCUACGGGAGGCAGCAAUAGGGAAUCUUCCGCAAUGGACGAAAGUCUGACGGAGCAACGCCGCGUGAGUGAUGAAGGCUUUCAGGUCGUAAAACUCUGUUGUUAGGGAAGAACAAGUGCUAGUUGAAUAAGCUGGCGCCUUGACCGUACCUAACCAGAAAGCCACUGCUAACUACGUGCCAGCAGCCGCGGUAAUACGUAGGUGGCAAGCGUUAUCCGGAAUUAUUGGGCGUAAAGCGCGCGCAGGUGGUUUCUUAAUCUGAUGU